GACUUAUUUACAAUGGCUGCCA
RNAcentral lists this non-coding RNA (22 nucleotides) under Arabidopsis thaliana (thale cress). Lineage: Eukaryota; Viridiplantae; Streptophyta; Magnoliopsida; Brassicales; Brassicaceae. The record is from RNAcentral.